This 76-nucleotide transfer RNA is filed under the name Flavobacteriales bacterium TMED191. RNAcentral's name for it is "tRNA-Gln". It matches the Rfam family "tRNA". From Rfam's summary of the family: Transfer RNA (tRNA) molecules are approximately 80 nucleotides in length. Lineage: Bacteria; Pseudomonadati; Bacteroidota; Flavobacteriia; Flavobacteriales. The record is from RNAcentral.
UGUCCGAUGGUGUAACUGGCAACACGUCUGGUUUUGGUNCAGAAGAGUCUAGGUUCGAGCCCUAGUCGGACAACUA